GAUGAACGCUAGCGGCAGGCUUAAUACAUGCAAGUCGAGGGGCAGCAGGUCUGUAGCAAUACAGAUGCUGGCGACCGGCAAACGGGUGCGGAACACGUACAGAACCUUCCUUCGAGCGGGGAAUAGCCCAGAGAAAUUUGGAUUAAUACCCCAUAGUAUUGUGGAGUGGCAUCACUUUACAAUUAAAGUAUUUAUCACUUGAAGAUGGCUGUGCGGCUGAUUAGGUAGUUGGCGGGGUAACGGCCCACCAAGCCUGCAAUCAGUAACUGGUGUGAGAGCACGACCAGUCACACGGGCACUGAGACACGGGCCCGACUCCUACGGGAGGCAGCAGUAAGGAAUAUUGGUCAAUAGGACGAAAGUCUGAACCAGCCAUGCCGCGUGGAGGAUGAAGGUCCUCU
This 401-nucleotide ribosomal RNA is filed under the name uncultured bacterium. Its description in RNAcentral is "bacterial SSU rRNA". It matches the Rfam family "Bacterial small subunit ribosomal RNA", at positions 28 to 420 of the family's 1533-position model. The record is from RNAcentral.